GACGAACGCUGGCGGCGCGCCUAACACAUGCAAGUCGAACGGAGGUAUUGAGACAGAAGCUUCGGCGGAAGACUUAAUACCUUAGUGGCGAACGGGUGAGUAACGCGUGAGCAACCUGCCUUACAGAGGGGGACAACAGUUGGAAACGACUGCUAAUACCGCAUAACGUACCGGAAGGACAUCCUUUUGGUACCAAAGGAGCAAUCCGCUGUAAGAUGGGCUCGCGUCCGAUUAGAUAGUUGGUGAGGUAACGGCCCACCAAGUCGACGAUCGGUAGCCGGACUGGGAGGUUGAACGGCCACAUUGGGACUGAGACACGGCCCAG
RNAcentral lists this ribosomal RNA (325 nucleotides) under uncultured bacterium. RNAcentral describes it as "bacterial SSU rRNA". It matches the Rfam family "Bacterial small subunit ribosomal RNA", at positions 28 to 334 of the family's 1533-position model. The record is from RNAcentral.